UGGGGGAUAUUGCACAAUGGGCGCAAGCCUGAUGCAGCGACGCCGCGUGGGGGAUGAAGGCCUUCGGGUUGUAAACUUCUUUUGCUCUGAACAAGGCGCACUUUGGGGUGUGUUGAGUGUAGGGGUUGAUUAGCGCCGGCUAACUACGUGCCAGCAGCCGCGGUAAUACGUAGGGCGCGAGCGUUGUCCGGAAUUAUUGGGCGUAAAGGGCUUGUAGGUGGCUGGUUGCGUCUGUCGUGAAAGCUCAUGGCUUAACUGUGGGUUUGCGGUGGGUACGGGCUGGCUUGAGUGCAGUAGGGGAGGCUGGAAUUCCUGGUGUAGCGGUGGAAUGCGCAGAUAUCAGGAGGAAUGCCGGUGGCGAAGGCGGGUCUCUGGGCUGUUACUGACACUGAGGAGCGAAAGCAUGGGGAGCGAACAGG
This 419-nucleotide ribosomal RNA is filed under the name bacterium. Its description in RNAcentral is "partial 16S ribosomal RNA". It matches the Rfam family "Bacterial small subunit ribosomal RNA", at positions 355 to 776 of the family's 1533-position model. The record is from RNAcentral.